UGCGUAGGCGGUUUGAUAAGUCAGGAGUGAAAGUCUACGGCUUAACUGUAGAAUUGCUUUUGAUACUGUCAGACUUGGAUGUGGUUGAGGUAUGCGGAAUGUGGCAUGUAGCGGUGAAAUGCAUAGAUAUGCCAUGGAACACCAAUUGCGAAGGCAGCAUACCGGGCCAUGAUUGACGCUGAGGCACGAAAGCGUGGGGAGCGAACAGGAUUAGAUACCCUGGUAGUCC
This 229-nucleotide ribosomal RNA is filed under the name uncultured bacterium. RNAcentral's name for it is "partial 16S ribosomal RNA". It matches the Rfam family "Bacterial small subunit ribosomal RNA", at positions 568 to 796 of the family's 1533-position model. The record is from RNAcentral.